GCUGGGGCUCAGUGGUAGAGGGCUCGCCCACCGUGCACGAGGCACUGGGUUCGAUCCUCCGCCCCGCA
This 68-nucleotide transfer RNA is filed under the name Marmota monax (woodchuck). RNAcentral's name for it is "tRNA.Gly". Lineage: Eukaryota; Metazoa; Chordata; Mammalia; Rodentia; Sciuridae. The record is from RNAcentral.